Falco peregrinus (peregrine falcon) is the source of this 7894-nucleotide long non-coding RNA. RefSeq lists it as uncharacterized. The record is from RefSeq and is a predicted model, not a curated record. Lineage: Eukaryota; Metazoa; Chordata; Aves; Falconiformes; Falconidae. The transcript has 3 exons.
CCCAAGCUGGGCUUAAUCCGGUUCUUACAAGGGCAGAAUGUGGGCGUUCGAGUGGCUGCGACACGGAAAUCCCGCUGUCACGAGCAGGACGGUGGCGGCUGGGUAGUUGGAGGAACACUUCCCGUGCGCUGCACAGGCUGACUAGGAGCAGUGGCUGCGGUUCCCUGUCUGAGUUCUGCCUGGGCUUCUGUGCCUUAAUGAAUAAUUUAAAUAGAAGGUCUUGUAGUCUCUAAACUGUGAAAUGAAUGUUGGAGUAAAACGAUCCCUUUGAGUGCAGCCAGCUGAUGUAAGCGCCCUGCACCUUGAAGCCUUUGCAGCGCUGGGUGGUGACGCGCUGGCAUUGGGGCUGUUGACUGUGUGCAGCCGGACCAGCCCCUGCGGACCCACGGCCCGAACCCCCUUUCAGAGGCGUGGAAAGAGGCAUCGGCGGUGCCAGCAGCAGAGGGAGAGCGCAGCUCUGCGGGGCUCCCUGCAGGCUGUUAGCCAGAUGGCCAGAGUUCUUGCUCCCGCUUCCUGAAUGGUGUCUUCAGCUUCAUGAUGUCCUCCUCCCCGAAGCCCUCCACUUGCUGAGUGAAGCGAGCAGGUCCCUGCCUGUGUCCUCAUGCUGUAUGCCCCUCCAAAGGGUCCUAGCGCCUCCUCCACUGAGGAAAAAUAUCCUGGUGGUUCUUUGUUUCAGUACGUUUCUGCCCAUUGAGAAGCAUCUCAGUUCUCCUGCAGCACCACUAAUUCACUGCUCCUCAGGGCACAGACCCUGCUCAGGACCAGUCCUACGCAGCCCAACGGUCCUACACAGCCAAGCUGCUCCCAUCUUCCCUGGGAAACCAACUCACUAAUGGAGCUAGAAUUCAUCAGCUCCCACUCUAAUGAAGUAAACUGAAGAGCAAGUUGAGACUGAAGACUUACCUGCUCUUUGGGUUUUGGGGUUUUUUUGUUUACUUCUAGAAAAAAAAAAACUCAAAGCAAAAGCUUUUGUAUUCCAAGCACUUCCGCAGUCUGGAGAUAAAGGUGCUACAACUUUCUGCAAAAGGUACGCCUGUUACCGCCCGGCAGCUUCCCCUGCAUGACACUGAAUGAGCUUGCCCAACAAGUGUACAUAGAAGAAAAAAAGGGUGGAAUGGCGCCUAAUGAGCCUUAAACCUCUGAUACUCCAUUUAUUAAAAUUUAAUGAUGAGCUAUUAAUAAUGAAUGCAGCCGGGAAGAUGGGAGAACCGCAGUAUAAUGUCCUCGAGAUUUUUAGUUAGCCAGAUUUCUCUGACAGCUGGGGAAGAAGAGGGCAGCUUUCAAGAGGAUGAAAAGGCUCCUCAGAGGGACAGAUGUAAGCAGCGGUCUGCAGCAGCCUCUGCGGGCUGGGAGCACCUUCCCAGGAGACGGCAUCUUUGCCCCUUUCUGAUGCUUGUGAAACAGACCACUAGGAAUGAGUAACACCGGUCAGUAGGUGUAACGUCACAGUACGGACAAGGGAGUUUUCACAUGGCACUGAGAAAUGCUUCCACGGGAUCCAGAGGGUAUCAGGAAGAGCCUGGUGUGGCUCUGGUCAUCUCAAAAAACCCCGUCCCAAUAAACAUCCCUGUUCUGGCUCUCAGAGCAGGGAAUAAGAAGGGGCAGGAUGGAAGACUGAUGGUGGCUUUGCUCCUUGCUUUCCAGGCCAGGUAAAUCCGCAGCGCGUAUCUGAGGCUCUUCUGAGCAGUCACGGGCAGAUGAAGUAGCGCGAGGCCUCUCCCAGCACGGCUCACACAGCCAGCCGCGGCAGGCCUGCGACAGAGCUGCUCUUCAGUACAGCACGAAUGUCUCAGGCGCUGAGAAAUGUCACUUUGAUUUUGACGUACUACUCACAAAGCGUGAUGUGUUUUCUCUUAUGGGUUGCUGUCAAGGUGAGGGAAUGAAUUAGCAUGGAUUUUUAAUUACUUUGCGUUUGAACCCUUGUCGUAAGUUGGAAGGGAAACGCUGUCCUAGAUGAAUAGAGAGGUGGUGCGAGAGCUGAUCCGGCCCCCGGUGAGGAGCCAAGCCCUGCAAGAGGUGGCUGCGGUCCUGUUUCUGUCUCCAGCUGCUUUGAUCCAGUGGCUGGGUUCACACGGAGCCUUCUACCGGGGCGAGCAGGCACCGCUGCCAAGAGGAGACCCGCGCUGCCUGAAGUGCCGGCAGCGCUCCGCCGCCGAGCCUGGGGACAGGCUGCCAUCUGCUGUGGCGCAGAGCGCUUGCGGGGAACGCUCCGAGCUGACUCAAACGGCGGCAGCCACGUUGGAGCUGGGGUGAGCUCAGGGCAGAAGCAAGGUAAGACACGAGAAGAGGAACCGUGUGCUUAAAGGCAUGUCGAUGCUUUCCACGCAGAUCACUCUCCUGAUAACAGCUAUUACCUAUUCCUACAGAAUCAUGCCCGUAGAGGAAAGGAACCAUCCUUGUGGUCUCCACGUGCUUUAACCCCUGGGAUUUCCAGCCGAGGGCAGGGAUGGGCGGGGGGGGACCGAGGCACCGGUCAGAGAGCUGCUGGGGGGGGACCGUGCGCUGCUCCCUCGGCUUAAUCCAGGCACUCAUGUGCUUCCACAGCCUCUCGGCUGUCGAAUUCUAAAGCACACAAAGGUGUGUGCUUUUCCUCUCAGCGCUAUGUGCGUGAUACCGAAGAUAACACCAAGUUAGCUCGACUGCCUGUACGUUACUCGGUUGGGAUUCCUGUGGCCAUACCCUCUACCAGUGGACCUUGCAGCCCAGACCAGAGCAAAGCCGAAAAACAUCUAUCGUUCAGGGCCUUUAUCUCUGAUCUUUAAAAUAAGAUCUGUACUGAACUCCGUGCUAAAACCAGAAUCAAAUUCAUAUCUCUAAAACUCUCUAAGAUCUCAACCCUGCUUGCUUGACACCUUCUUUAGAUACCACCAACUUGGUCUGUUUUUUCCGUACUUUUUUCUGUUUCUCACUCCACAUCAUCACUUGCUUUGAAACUGCACAACCUGACUCACAAGUAGUCUUAGAAACAAGAGAUUUUCGUUUGCCUGAGUUAAAGAAAGAAUUGUUCCAAAAUGAGCAAGUUAGCACAGGAAAAGGUGGGAAUAAAGGACAGGAGGUCCUGAUCCCCUGCUCAUUUUGCAAAAAAAACGAAUUUACUGCAUGGCUGUGGGGUGGCAACUCUAGCAGGCACUUGUUCCUGGAGUUCAAACACCUCCUCUCAUGCGUGCUCAGAUGAAAAGGAUGCACUCAGGAGAAGUCAUUUUUAAAACAGUUGGGUUGCAUAUUGUCUGCCUGCUUGUAGGCAAGUGUAUGGCCCUCUGCCAGACAGUGCCCAGCACACGAAAAUCCAGUAAAGUCAAGAUGUUUUGCUGCUUUUGGGAUAGCAGAAUGGUUGGAAACAGUGAGGUCUGGGAAGGAAAAUGAUUGAUUUUUGGCUGUGUUGUGUUACAGUGGCCAGGAGGUCUAACAUCAAAUAUUGCUGAGGAGAUGGUCAGCUCGAGGUGGUAGGUCCUCAAGCCUAAAUGGUGGAGGCAAACAGAGAGAAGCCAAUAAAAGAGAGGUAAAUAUUAGUCAGCAGUAAAACGGUGUGUGUCAUACUGGUGAAAACUCCCAGGGUGUGAUGUAGACAGAAGAAACAAAUGAGAGAGAGAGAGGGAGGAACUUCUUCGGGAGUAUCUCAAAGGGCAGCAGGACUAGAGAGUCUAUGGGCUGGAAGAGAAGUCUUAACAGACCCAGCAAAGCUGCGGGGCUUGAUAAAGCAUCUUAAUCCCUGGGGAUGAUUUAGGUGCUGUAAAUGCUAUAGGUGAAUUCCAUGUGCAUUGGACGCACCUGGUCUGUACACAGUGAUUCCUUGUUGCCAAACAGGAGACUCUCCGGCUGUGUUUUCCAGCAGCUUCCCAUGUCACCAUUUAAUUGAAAAGCGAAGCCCUGUUUGAGUCCAUGGCUGAUGACACUGGAGUUGCCGCUCAGACCAGACUGUUUCCCAUUACACUUCCCUGAAAGCAUCCCACCAGAAUCCCUCCUUUUGUAGUGUCGGGGUGGCAGUGGCCGAAUUCAAAGGGAGUGCUGCACAUAACAAAGCUAGCCUGGAAAGCUGACAUAAAAAAACCCAGAGCCCCUGAUGACUCAGGUAUUAAUGUACUCCACCAGAAUAAGCUGCUAUCUGAUAAAAUGUGCUCACUCCAGAUACAGAAGCAAGAGCUUUUAAUUUUACACAGCCUUUUUACUGGAUACUGACAGCACCAAGAAGAAACUGGGUUAAACGCAGAUACAUCUGCGGCAUGUCUAAUGUGCUGAGAAAUGUCUUAGAGCCAGGAGAAGCUCUGCUACCGUGGCAGACUUGGAGGAAUAAAUGCCGUAUCAUUUAGGAGCAACGGGAGAGAUCUGACAUCCCUGUUUUAUGGGUUGUCCUUAUGUUGGGACAGUGUCUUGAUGGAGUCUAUUAAGAAACUGGCCCAGAUGGAGCCAUUGACCUCCGCUACCCUGAUCCAGCCACUUUUCCUUCCUGCAGGCCCCUUCCCGCAGGCCCCUUCUGGCACUCAGUUGUGGCCCAGCUCAUUCUCAUCUCUGAAGGAAAAUGUGGGUAUUGCCCUGCAGGGUCAGAGCAGGCGCCCGUCUUGCCCUGCGUCUUGCCUCUAGCGAGGAUACAGCGUGUCAGGGGUGGCCCAUGAGUGCAGAGGUGGGCCAGUCAUCUGUCUUCUCUACAUAUGGAUCUGAUCCUGAGUUCUGACAGUUGGCAUUUGGUUGACAUGAAAAAAAAUAAUCUUCAAAAUUGUCGUAUGAGUUAAUUUUGAAAGCUGCUAAUGUUGCCCUAUAAAACUGCCAUCCCGUUCUGCAUCUUUCUAAGUUCUUGUCUUGAAAGGUUUCUUGUGGCAUUGAGCACCACGCUCCACUUACACAAGGCACAGAAACAUUUCUCCCGCUAUUGGCAUGAAAAAUUCAGGUUUAAUAUCCCUUCACAUCACUAAAGACAAGAAGAGCAGAAACUCUCCAUCUGCUUUCUCUGUGGUGUUCGUAAUUUUACAUAUUUCUUUUAUAGCUCUUGCUUCCUCCAAGGAGAGCUUUUCCUUGAUGUUUGGUUGUUCCUAUCACUGUUUAAUGCUGCUCUUUUAGAGACAAGAUUACCCACCACACUCGGGGUUCCUGGGGGACCUGCCCCUCUACUUACAUUUAAUCAUUAUUUUCCCUCAUAUUCCUUAUGGAUCCCAAUACCUUGUUCAUUUUUUUUACUUGCAGUACAAGCUGAGCAAGGGUUUUCUGUGAAGGUUUCUGAAAGCCAGCGGUACCAGGACCCUGCAAGUAAGGACCUUCUAGGCCACUACAGCAUCCCCUGAAAAACAGGAGCCCAGAUAUUACUGGAGAUAACCCAGCUUUUACAAUAGUUCGCUACUAGUCCUGCCACAAGCAGUAAUAUGCAUUUCCUUGCUUUUUAUUGUCUCUUGCACUCUCUCGCAUCUGGGAAAACAUCAAGCUACUUUGUUCUUUUUGCUGUUUAUUUUCUACAUCACAAAACCCACUGUUUCCCCUGUUUCUUUUCCAGGAAGGCUCCAUAAAAGACUCCUGAACCAGAGUGAGCAUAGGAAAAAUCCCCUGUCAUACUUCUGUUGUUUUUCAAGAAUGCCGAUUUAACUCGCAUAUCUGAAAAAGUAGCAGCAGAAAAAAUUUCCUGGCUAGAACUACUGGGGAUUGGAGUUGUUUACGCAGGAGACACUUUGCAGGACUAUGUCCCACAUGCACAGGAAUAAGGAUGUUUGUCAUUCUAUAUCACCAGGGCACUGUAACACACCGGCAGUGCUGAGUCACGUUCUCCUGCGAAGCCAGCGUGGCCCUUGGCAAUCAGUAGAGAGCAGAGAUAACUGAAACGCUAGUCAGAAGACUUACCGUAAAAGCAUACUUUACGGGCAGAAGUUGUGCUCGAAGAGGCAGGUAGACAACACAUCAAGUGAACUACGGUUGCCUGACUCACAGUUUCCUCCCCUAACUCUGCUGGUAAAGCCCUGGCAGUUCCUAUCUGCAGAGAACCAUCAGCACGUUCAGGCUGCAAAUACCAGAGUUCACAAGAUCAUGCUGCGUGUGCCCUGGGGAACUUUGUUAGGUUUAAACCAGCCUCUCUUCUCAAAGUCACGCGAAAUCACCCACUGAGUAUCCUACCAUCCAGGUGGCAAGAGAUAUCUCAGGUGGGACUGGCGUUGUCACUGCCACCGCGGUGUUCAGCCACAAGACGACAGCCAGCAAAGCAAGCCGCAGGAGGGAACCGCACAUCUGUCGCCCCUUCCUUCUGGUCCGCAAAUGUUACGUGGGAUUCGUUUAUUCUCCCCGAGGGGAACAGAGAGCUUUGCUGUUAAUACAAAAUGCAGCAGAACAGUAACAACAUUUAACUCUGAGAUAACAUCAAUGAAGUGUAAGGUAGAAAAUCAAACAAUUUGUUACUUUCCCUGUGCGAGCAGACAAGACGCCUCUCUUCAUCACAACCAAAAAAUAUUAAAGGCCGUGGAAGGGCGUGUGGCUGAAAAAGGCACUCUGAGGGUAUGGCUUUCCCCUGUGUCUCUGGCACAAUUAAUCACUGGGGAUUUGAAUGUACCUCUCUGGUGAAAGAGAAACACAGACCUGAGGGUUUCAGCCAGAUCAGUCCUUCCUGGGCAAAUGUCAACUGAGGGGUAAAUCCAACGCUAGCUACAUAAAGGUCAUUUCAUGCUGAGUGAGUGAUGCAAAAUUUCUUUUUAAAGCAGCUCUGAGCGAUCGACUAAGAUUAACCUGGCAGAACGUCCCCCUGACUUGGGUGAAGAUGCUUCAAGAUCGGCGAUCUGAACCUCACCAGCUGGACACUGAGGUCAGUCCCGCACAGCUGGACUUGGCUCUGGCUUAGUUUGCAGACCAGGACCAGACACAUGGCAGUGGUGAGUGCAUUGGCCCAUGAUUCAGCCAAGGGAGGCACAGAAAACGGUAUCCAUGCUGCAGCACUCACUUUCAGCCUCGGGUUGACCCAUAGGGCUGGAAAGGGGAAACCUGGUUUACCACCAAGGCUGUGGGAAGGGCUUUCCCUUCAAAAACAGCAGCUGUAGUUAAUAACCACCCACAGCUGCUCCUCUGCUGGGGAUUCCCUUUCUUUUUGCCUUUCCCCUCCCUUCCCAUCUGUCUCUCUGCCAGUGGAAAGUGGUUAUGUAGAUACUCCCAGGUCCCUUUCCAGAAAGUCAGACUACUGAAAGCAAACAAUGAACACGGUGUCCCUGCCCAUGACAAGGGGGCCAGAACUAGAUGAUCUUUAAAGGUCCCUUCCAACCCAAACCAUGCGGUGAUGUGGGCAAACCCAAACUUUCCAUCUCACUUGUGAGCGCUUGCAGGAGCCGUGGGGACAUCCUCAGCCAGCUGGCAGCAGUGACGAGGCAGGAAGGCAGGAAUGCCAUCCUCAACCCACACAGCUGAGGACGUUAAUCUGAGACAACAGUGAGUAACACAAAGCAGAACUGCAAUGGAGGACAGGGCUAACACGGCCUCUGUCCCUCCCACUGCCUCUCUGAUUUCAUUGACUUUAUGCACGUGAGUAAAUUCUGCAAACUCAGUCUUUCUGCAGUCUGGAUCUAUACACAGUGAUCAGUUUUACGUUAUGCUUGUGAUCUCUCACUUCAUUGCAACUGUGUCAUGUUUUAGGGAUUAGAAGACAGACAGACUCCAACUAAUGUGACCCCAAGUAAGAAGAAAAAAAAACCCAAACCCUUCACAUUUUCCCUACGAGGAGCACCUCACGUGUGCCUGUAGUCUGAACAUGGCUGAGGCUGUUAGGGACAAGGAGAUUUCUGCCAGGCAGUGCAAAAGAUGCUAUGAAAAUAUUGUGAGUGACGUUUGCAGGUUGCUGUAGAGAAAUUCCCACUGGCUUCCUAACAAGCAUUUAAUAUUUAGCACAGGGUUUUUUACUGCUUUUGCUGUUCUAGCUUCCAAUAAAGCCUGUUUGAUCUGA